CAGUAGCCGCGGUAAUACGUAGGUCCCGAGCGUUGUCCAGAUUUAUUGGGCGUAGAGCGAGCGCAGGCGGUUAGAUAAGUCUGAAGUUAAAGGCUGUGGCUUAACCAUAGUACGCUUUGGAAACUGUUUAACUUGAGUGCAAGAGGGGAGAGUGGAAUUCCACGUGUAGCGGUGAAGUGCGCAGAUAUAUGGAGGAACACCGGUGGCGAAAGCGGCUCUCUGGUCUGUAACUGACGCUGAGGCUCGAAAGCGUGGGGAGCGAACAGGAUUAGAUACCCCCGUAGUCCCUGUCUCUUAUACA
This 301-nucleotide ribosomal RNA is filed under the name uncultured bacterium. RNAcentral's name for it is "partial 16S ribosomal RNA". It matches the Rfam family "Bacterial small subunit ribosomal RNA", at positions 509 to 808 of the family's 1533-position model. The record is from RNAcentral.